RNAcentral lists this transfer RNA (73 nucleotides) under Candidatus Kentrum sp. MB. RNAcentral's name for it is "Candidatus Kentron sp. MB tRNA_Val_TAC". It matches the Rfam family "tRNA". Rfam says of the family: Transfer RNA (tRNA) molecules are approximately 80 nucleotides in length. The record is from RNAcentral. Lineage: Bacteria; Pseudomonadati; Pseudomonadota; Gammaproteobacteria.
GGGUGCUUAGCUCAGUUGGGAGAGCGCCGCCCUUACAAGGCGAAGGUCGGGGGUUCAAAUCCCUCAGCACCCA